UGAACGCUAGCGACAGGCCUAACACAUGCAAGUCGAGGGGCAGCACAAGGAGCAAUCUGAGGUGGCGACCGGCGCACGGGUGAGUAACACGUAUGCAACCUGCCUGUAAGCGGGGAAUAACCCGUUGAAAGACGGACUAAUACCGCAUAAUACUAAAUUACUGCAUGGUAAUUUAUUUAAACAUUUAUGGCUUACAGAUGGGCAUGCGCAUGAUUAGCUAGUUGGAGAGGUAACGGCUCCCCAAGGCAACGAUCAUUAGGGGUUCUGAGAGGAAGGUCCCCCACACUGGUACUGAGACACGGACCAGACUCCUACGGGAGGCAGCAGUGAGGAAUAUUGGUCAAUGGACGAGAGUCUGAACCAGCCAAGUCGCGUGCAGGAAGAAUGUCCUAAUGGAUUGUAAACUGCUUUUGCAGGGGAAUAAAGUGCAUCACGUGUGAUGUUUUGUAUGUACUCUGCGAAUAAGGAUCGGCUAACUCCGUGCCAGCCGCUGC
Molecule: ribosomal RNA, 494 nt
Filed under: uncultured bacterium
Lineage: Bacteria
Description: bacterial SSU rRNA
Rfam family: Bacterial small subunit ribosomal RNA
Source: RNAcentral